Molecule: ribosomal RNA, 771 nt
Filed under: uncultured bacterium
Lineage: Bacteria
Description: bacterial SSU rRNA
Rfam family: Bacterial small subunit ribosomal RNA
Source: RNAcentral
AAUUCGAUUGAGUUUGAUCAUGGCUCAGGAUGAACGCUAGCGGCAGGCUUAAUACAUGCAAGUCGAAUGUGGCAACACAUGGCGCACGGGUGCGUAACACGUAUGCAACCUACUCACUACAGGAGGAUAACCAGCCGAAAGGUUGGAUAAUACUCCAUAAUAUCAUCGACAAGCAUUUGUUGGUGAUUAAAGAUUUAUCGGUAGUGAAUGGGCAUGCGUCCGAUUAGCUAGUUGGCGGGGUAACGGCCCACCAAGGCUAUGAUCGGUAGGGGAACUAAGAGGUUUAUCCCCCACACUGGUACUGAGAGACGGACCAGACUCCUACGGGAGGCAGCAGUAGGGAAUAUUGGACAAUGGGGGCAACCCUGAUCCAGCCAUGCCGCGUGCAGGAAGAAGGCGUUAUGCGUUGUAAACUGCUUUUGACAGGGAAUAAAAAGCUCAUGCGUGAGAAAUUGAAUGUACCUGUAGAAUAAGCCACGGCUAACUACGUGCCAGCAGCCGCGGUAAUACGUAGGUGGCGAGCGUUAUCCGGAUUUAUUGGGUUUAAAGGGAGCGUAGGCGGUUCUGUAAGUCAGUGGUGAAAGUCGGCCGCUUAACGGUUGGAAUGCCAUUGAUACUGCAGAGCUAGAGUAUAGUAUAGGUAGGGAGAAUUGACGGUGUAGCGGUGAAAUGCAUAGAUAUCGUCAAGAAUACCGAUUGCGAAGGCACCUUACUGGACUAUAACUGACGCUGAGGCUCGAAAGUAUGGGAAUCAAACAGGAUUAGAUACCC